UUGGAGGGCAAGUCUGGUGCCUGCAGCCGCGGUAAUUCCAGCUCCAAUAGCGUAUAUUAAAGUUGUUGCAGUUAAAAAGCUCGUAGUUGAAUUUCGGGGUUCUACCGUUGGUCGGGCAAUAGUCUGUACUGGCGUGUAGAAUUUCUACCUUCUGGGGAACUAUCAUGUUAUUUAUUUAGCGUGGUAGGAAACCAGGACCUUUACCUUGAAAAAAUUAGAGUGUUCAAAGCAGGCUUACGUCUGAAUACAUUAGCAUGGAAUAAUAAAAUAGGACGGUGGUCCUGUUUUGUUGGUUUCUGAAUCACCGUAAUGAUUAAUAGGGAUAGUUGGGGGCAUUGGUAUUCAAUUGUCAGAGGUGAAAUUCUUGGAUUUAUUGAAGACUAACUUCUGCGAAAGCAUUUGCCAAGGAUGUUUUCAUUAAUCAAGAACGAAAGUUAGGGGAUCGAAGACGAUCAGAUACCGUCGUAGUCUUAACCAUAAACUAUGCCGACUAGGGAUCGGACGAUGUUAAUUUUUCUUGACUCGUUCGGCACCUUACGGGAAAC
RNAcentral lists this ribosomal RNA (545 nucleotides) under uncultured Gigasporaceae. RNAcentral's name for it is "SSU rRNA". It matches the Rfam family "Eukaryotic small subunit ribosomal RNA", at positions 548 to 1098 of the family's 1831-position model. Lineage: Eukaryota; Fungi; Glomeromycota; Glomeromycetes; Diversisporales; Gigasporaceae. The record is from RNAcentral.